UUUCCUACGGGUGGCUGCAGUGGGGAGUAUUGGACAAUGGGGGAAACCCUGAUCCAGCCAUGCCGCGUGAGUGAUGAAGGCCUUCGGGUUGUAAAGCUCUUUUAGCGGGGAAGAUAAUGACGGUACCCGCAGAAUAAGCCCCGGCUAACUUCGUGCCAGCAGCCGCGGUAAGACGAAGGGGGCUAGCGUUGUUCGGAAUUACUGGGCGUAAAGGGCGCGCAGGCGGCUCUGCAAGUCAGGCGUUAAAGACCCAGGCUCAACCUGGGGAAUGCGCUUGAUACUGCGGGGCUUGAGAUCGGAAGAGGAGAGGGGAAUUCCCAGUGUAGAGGUGAAAUUCGUAGAUAUUGGGAAGAACACCAGUGGCGAAGGCGGCUCUCUGGUCCGAUUCUGACGCUGAGGCGCGAAAGCGUGGGGAGCAAACAGGAUUAGAUACCCGUGUAGUCUA
RNAcentral lists this ribosomal RNA (445 nucleotides) under uncultured Rhodospirillaceae bacterium. RNAcentral describes it as "bacterial SSU rRNA". It matches the Rfam family "Bacterial small subunit ribosomal RNA", at positions 335 to 797 of the family's 1533-position model. Lineage: Bacteria; Pseudomonadati; Pseudomonadota; Alphaproteobacteria; Rhodospirillales; Rhodospirillaceae. The record is from RNAcentral.